Molecule: non-coding RNA, 211 nt
Organism: Pelobates cultripes (western spadefoot toad)
Lineage: Eukaryota; Metazoa; Chordata; Amphibia; Anura; Pelobatidae
Source: the annotation of a GenBank genome assembly
CAGUAACCCUGUACAAAAUGCACAAAACUACGACAGACUUAUGCUGGAGAGGCUGCGGAGCCAGGGGAACGUACCUCCACAUGUGGUGGGAAUGCCCCGGCGCAAUCCCGUUUUGGGCAGCAGUGCACAACCUGGUGAGACAGGUGUUCUCUAGGACGCCCGCGUUGGAACCAUGGGUAUAUCUCCUGAGCAGGUCGAUAGAGGGAUGGAC